GCCAGCAGCCGCGGUAAUACGUAGGUGGCAAGCGUUAUCCGGAUUUAUUGGGCGUAAAGCGAGCGCAGGCGGUUUUUUAAGUCUGAUGUGAAAGCCCUCGGCUUAACCGAGGAAGUGCAUCGGAAACUGGGAAACUUGAGUGCAGAAGAGGACAGUGGAACUCCAUGUGUAGCGGUGAAAUGCGUAGAUAUAUGGAAGAACACCAGUGGCGAAGGCGGCUGUCUGGUCUGUAACUGACGCUGAGGCUCGAAAGCAUGGGUAGCGAACAGGAUUAGAUACCCUGGUAGUCCAUGCCGUAAACGAUGAAUGCUAGGUGUUGGAGGGUUUCCGCCCUUCAGUGCCGCAGCUAACGCAUUAAGCAUUCCGCCUGGGGAGUACGACCGCAAGGUUGAAACUCAAAGGAAUUGACGGGGGCCCGCACAAGCGGUGGAGCAUGUGGUUUAAUUCGAAGCAACGCGAAGAACCUUACCAGGUCUUGACAUCUUUUGAUCACCUGAGAGAUCRGGUUUCCCCUUCGGGGGCAAAAUGACAGGUGGUGCAUGGUUGUCGUCAGCUCGUGUCGUGAGAUGUUGGGUUAAGUCCCGCAACGAGCGCAACCCUUAUGACUAGUUGCCAGCAUUUAGUUGGGCACUCUAGUAAGACUGCCGGUGACAAACCGGAGGAAGGUGGGGAUGACGUCAAAUCAUCAUGCCCCUUAUGACCUGGGCUACACACGUGCUACAAUGGAUGGUACAACGAGUUGCGAGACCGCGAGGUCAAGCUAAUCUCUUAAAGCCAUUCUCAGUUCGGACUGUAGGCUGCAACUCGCCUACACGAAGUCGGAAUCGCUAGUAAUCGCGGAUCAGCACSCCGCGGUGAAUACGUUCCCGGGCCUUGUACACACCGCCCGUCACACCAUGAGAGUUUGUAACACCCGAAGCCGGUGGCGUAACCCUUUUAGGGAGCGAGCCGUCUAAGGUG
This 960-nucleotide ribosomal RNA is filed under the name Lacticaseibacillus rhamnosus GG. Its description in RNAcentral is "bacterial SSU rRNA". The record is from RNAcentral. Lineage: Bacteria; Bacillati; Bacillota; Bacilli; Lactobacillales; Lactobacillaceae.